GGCAGUGGCAGUUGUAGGGCCAGGGGCGGUUGUAGGACCCGGAGCAGCCGGACAUGGAACAACCGUGGCCGCCUCCGGGACCUUGGAGCCUCCCUCGGGCCGAGGGUGAGGCUGAGGAAGAGAAUGACUUGGACGUGUUCCCCAGUUCUCCCCGCUGCCCGCAGCUGCCGGGCGGCAGCGCCCAGAUGUAUAGCCAUGGAAUUGAAUUGGCUUGCCAAAAGCAGAAAGAGUUUGUGAAGAGCUCUGUGGCGUGCAAAUGGAAUCUUGCUGAAGCUCAACAGAAACUUGGUAGCUUAGCACUGCAUAAUUCUGAGUCCUUGGAUCAGGAGCAUGCCAAAGCACAAAUAGCAGUAUCAGAACUGAGGCAACGGGAAGAAGAAUGGCGACAGAAAGAAGAAGCUCUAGUGCAAAGAGAGAAGAUGUGUCUGUGGAGCAUGGAUGCCAUUAGCAAGGAUGUUUUUAAUAAGGUAUGACCUUUUACUAGGCCAUAAUGAAAGAAGAAAAACAAGUGUUUGUACAAACCAGUUGUGCGUAUUUGGUAGCAAAGCAGCAGAAUCACAUAAACAGUGUUCAAUUUUGACAGUUUAUGAAAGGUGCUUGAAAAGUUUAUGAAAGUCAAACAGUCUCAAAGCUCUUGCUGUAGAGCCGCAGACUCCAGGCAGUUAAGUGACCAGUCUGAAAUACAUAUUUAUAUAAAUGUACUGCUGAACAAAUAUUACAUAUAUUAAAAAACAUUCACAAAAAUUUGUUAUAAGGAUGGGAAAAUAUAUCAGUUAUGAAAU
This 782-nucleotide small RNA is filed under the name Pongo abelii (Sumatran orangutan). Its description in RNAcentral is "processed transcript". Lineage: Eukaryota; Metazoa; Chordata; Mammalia; Primates; Hominidae. The record is from RNAcentral.